Molecule: ribosomal RNA, 115 nt
Filed under: Danio rerio (zebrafish)
Lineage: Eukaryota; Metazoa; Chordata; Actinopteri; Cypriniformes; Danionidae
Source: RNAcentral
GCCGGCAGCUAGCUAUCUGCAACUCUCAAAUUGUCGCCCACUAAAGCUAAGCAGAGCUGAGCCCGGUCACUACCUGAAUGGGAGACCACAUGGGAAUGCUAGGUUGCUGACGGAA